AGUGAACGCUGGCGGUAGGCCUAACACAUGCAAGUCGAACGGCAGCACAGUAAGAGCUUGCUCUUACGGGUGGCGAGUGGCGGACGGGUGAGGAAUACAUCGGAAUCUACUUUUUCGUGGGGGAUAACGUAGGGAAACUUACGCUAAUACCGCAUACGACCUACGGGUGAAAUCAGGGGAUCUUCGGACCUUGCGCGAUUGAAUGAGCCGAUUUCGGAUUAGCUAGUUGGCGGGGUAAAGGCCCCCCAAGGCAACGAUCCGUAGCUGGUCUGAGAGGAUGAUCGGCCAACCGGGAAAUGAGCAACGGGCAAGACCCCGACGGGAGGCAGCAGUGGGGAAUAUUGGACAAUGGGCGCAAGCCUGAUCCAGCCAUACCGCGUGGGUGAAGAAGGCCUUCGGGUUGUAAAGCCCUUUUGUUGGGAAAGAAAAGCAGCAGGUUAAUACCCCGCUGUUCUGACGGUACCAAAAGAAUAAGCACCGGCUAACUGCGU
RNAcentral lists this ribosomal RNA (491 nucleotides) under uncultured bacterium. RNAcentral's name for it is "partial 16S ribosomal RNA". It matches the Rfam family "Bacterial small subunit ribosomal RNA", at positions 29 to 506 of the family's 1533-position model. The record is from RNAcentral.